RNAcentral lists this ribosomal RNA (439 nucleotides) under uncultured bacterium. RNAcentral's name for it is "partial 16S ribosomal RNA". It matches the Rfam family "Bacterial small subunit ribosomal RNA", at positions 338 to 795 of the family's 1533-position model. The record is from RNAcentral.
CCUACGGGUGGCAGCAGUGGGGAAUAUUGCACAAUGGGCGAAAGCCUGAUGCAGCAACGCCGCGUGAGCGAUGACGGCCCUCGGGUCGUUAAGCUCCUUUUUCACGGAAGUUAAUGCCGGUACUUGUGGCGGAAGCCACGGCUAAUUACGUGCCAGCAGCCGCGUGAAUACGUGGGGGGCUAGCGUUAUCCGGAAUUACGGGGCGUAAAGGGUGUGUAGGUGGUUUCUUAAGUGCGUGGUGAAAGGCUACGGUUCAACCGUAGUAAGCCUUUGACAAUGGGAAGCUUGAGUGCAGGAGAGGAAGGUGGAAUGCCUAGUGUAGCGGUGAAAUGCGUAGAGAUUAGGAAGAACACCGAUUGCGAAGGCAGCUUACUGGACUAUGACUGACGCUGAGGCACGAAAGCGUGGGGAGCAAACAGGAUUAGAUACCCGGGUAGUC